GGGAUGGCGAAUGGCUCUUGCAGUUAGCUGGCUGAGCGUGUGAGCAGUAUGUGUGAGCAAGAUCAUUGGUGUCUCCAGCAGUUAAGAGCACCAGUUGCAGGAAUUUCAUCAGAGGCAUACAAGUUGUGGAUUUGACUGGGACAAUUUUUUGUACAUUUCCAUUUUUUGAACAAGAGGAGGAAGCUGUGCUGUGAAGGAUCCUUUUUCAUCAUGAUUAUUGCAUCUACAGGAGCAGUAAUAAAUUCUAAUAGAUAAUGCAACUCAGUCUACUUGGAUGUUCACCCCUGAGACUGGAGAAGACCUGCUGCCUUCUGCAGAGCCAAACAUUCCUCACAUGCUCCUUCACAAUGCUAGCCAAUGCAGCAAGAAUAGUCUUAUAUAGACUAUAAGCUCCUGGAUCACUGUGUCUACAUUGCUCACUGCAGUGUCCCAACAUCUAAGAACAUGGUCUUAGAUGUCUGGUAUAGGACUGGUGCUCAGUAUGCACUGAAUGAAUAAAUGAAUGAAUAUAGCAAAGCA
Long non-coding RNA from Mandrillus leucophaeus (drill), 519 nucleotides. RefSeq lists it as uncharacterized. The transcript has 4 exons. NCBI's taxonomy places the organism in Eukaryota, Metazoa, Chordata, Mammalia, Primates, Cercopithecidae. The record is from RefSeq and is a predicted model, not a curated record.